Schistosoma mansoni is the source of this 78-nucleotide microRNA precursor. It matches the Rfam family "mir-3492 microRNA precursor family". NCBI's taxonomy places the organism in Eukaryota, Metazoa, Platyhelminthes, Trematoda, Strigeidida, Schistosomatidae. The record is from Rfam.
AGCUUUUUGAAUCCGUGCAGAGAUUUAGUCAGACAUCAACCUAUUAGGGCUGAUCAGACUUCUAAGAUAAGUAAAUUU